Molecule: ribosomal RNA, 561 nt
Filed under: Saccharomyces cerevisiae (brewer's yeast)
Lineage: Eukaryota; Fungi; Ascomycota; Saccharomycetes; Saccharomycetales; Saccharomycetaceae
Description: eukaryotic LSU rRNA
Rfam family: Eukaryotic large subunit ribosomal RNA
Source: RNAcentral
ACCAACCGGGAUUGCCUUAGUAACGGCGAGUGAAGCGGCAAAAGCUCAAAUUUGAAAUCUGGUACCUUCGGUGCCCGAGUUGUAAUUUGGAGAGGGCAACUUUGGGGCCGUUCCUUGUCUAUGUUCCUUGGAACAGGACGUCAUAGAGGGUGAGAAUCCCGUGUGGCGAGGAGUGCGGUUCUUUGUAAAGUGCCUUCGAAGAGUCGAGUUGUUUGGGAAUGCAGCUCUAAGUGGGUGGUAAAUUCCAUCUAAAGCUAAAUAUUGGCGAGAGACCGAUAGCGAACAAGUACAGUGAUGGAAAGAUGAAAAGAACUUUGAAAAGAGAGUGAAAAAGUACGUGAAAUUGUUGAAAGGGAAGGGCAUUUGAUCAGACAUGGUGUUUUGUGCCCUCUGCUCCUUGUGGGUAGGGGAAUCUCGCAUUUCACUGGGCCAGCAUCAGUUUUGGUGGCAGGAUAAAUCCAUAGGAAUGUAGCUUGCCUCGGUAAGUAUUAUAGCCUGUGGGAAUACUGCCAGCUGGGACUGAGGACUGCGACGUAAGUCAAGGAUGCUGGCAUAAUGGUU